AGAUAAAUAACAGAAGGCCAAAAAAGGAGAGGAGCAGUUGUUUAUAAAUUGGUGCAGCGAGAAUCUACGAUGGAUAGUUAAAAACAGUCAGGAUUUCAUCUAGUAAGACAGGUUGCAUGGCCGGAGUCCGGUUGGCACUGUGGGGUUGCUCUGGAUCCUCCAAAAAAUCUGAAGGUUAACAGAAGCACUGGGGACUUAAUUAAACAUGGAAAAAGUAGCCAUUUUGACGUAUAUCCGAGUGAAACGGCUUCUGAAAUGAAUAAAGGUAGGGCGGGACUUAAAUUUGUCCUUCAAGAAUUGAUUGGAUUGUUUGAUGUUGGGUCAUUUUGCUAAUUGCCAAUCACUGCAAUCUUUUCCCCAACUCCACCCACCUGCCAUACAAUAUGACCGGAAGUAAAGAGAGAAAAAAGAAAGAGAAGAAAAAACAACUUGAUAUAUAUCAUUAUCAUUAUCAAGUACGAGCUGGAUGGCCCCUUGCAUGGCUGACACCGCCGUCGGUGUAUGAAUGUGUGAGUGAAUGGGUGAAUGUGAGGCAACAUGUACAGCGCUUUGGAAGGCCAUAGGUCUGUUAAAAGCGCUAUAUAAAUGCAGUCCAUUUACCAUUUACCAAGUACUCAUGCAUGAUAUAAGAUUUUGGUCCUAUCGCCCAGCCCUAUUCGUGUGUAUACAAAAGCAACAAAAGCUGUGUGGUAAAACCACAAUUUACUAUAAACAUAUUUCUAAAAAAUGGAUAUCUCAUCAGCCCUUCUGGAAGGUCUCCUGCUGAAAAUAUCAGCUAAUGGCGUUUGGAAAGCCAAGAGAAGAGUGAACAAUGAUGAACUUUAUAAGCAGUUUGUGAAUGGACAAGAUUACGGUGUAAUUGUAAUAAUUCAAAGCACUACUGAAAUGGGACACAGUCGAUAAGACUGUACAGAUCCUGGGGCAAAUGACAACCAAAUCAAUGAAAACAUACACACUCCAACCAGGUGCCACACAAAUCUUUUAACAAUACUGACCGUGCCGGUGUACUGUUAAAAUUAUAACGAUUGUAACAAAGUGGCCCUGGUUAAUGAGUUAUUGAUCAAAGAUCUCUUUCAAAAACACACUUAAAACAAAGUUGCUUUGUCUUUUGAUGCAACAUUAGGAAUAACUGAUAUUACCAUUAAGUCUCUGAGACACUCCUGGAAAAACUUCCAGAUUCCUAAAGAGUAAAAAUCUCCAGAUAAUCUGUGGAUAAUGACUGCGUUUCUCCUGGGAGAUCAAUAAAUAUAUCUGUCUUUCUAUCUAUAAAAGGAAAAGAUUAGCUCACAAGGGCUUUUUCAGAGCUUUUCUUAGACCCCCUGUGCAUGAAAGAAAAAACAGAAAAAGGGGAAAACGAAUUAAAAGAAAUUGGGAAGAACUGCAAGAAUGCUUACAGGCCUGUUCUCUGUUAAUAGACCCAUUAGAGCAUCUGCUCACACAUAAUUCAACAAAUUAGUUUACAGGGAAGCUUUUUGGGUUUUUUACUAGUGGUGUGUUUCAAAUAUCACUGUUGCUAUUGUUUACUGAUAUAAGUGAUAAGUGUGAUUUAAUAUGUUAAAAUACGCUCACAAAACUGCUGAUGUCUGCUAUUAGUUUUCUAAAUUAUCAGAUCUGAUUUUCCCCUGUCUGAUCAAAUAAUUGAAACAACUAAAACAAUUCAUACUUCAAAUAUCAGAAUAUACUAUAGAGACACUUGGACUUGAGCCAGUAAAUUGUUGCUUACAAACCACACAGAACACGCUAGCAACCGCAUAACCACACGGAUAAACCACACAGAACACGCUAGCAACCACAUAACCACACGCUUAAACCACACAGAACACCCUAGCAACAACCACAGCAGUGCUCUGAAAGCCACCCAUCACCCCAGACUCACAGUGACAGGUUAUGCACAGAAAGCAUCACUUGCUCAUAAAAUGUAAACAUCUAGUUAUGCAUGUUUAGUUACAUAAUAUUUUUUCUUUCUAUUUCUAAAAAAUGUUUUUUUUCAUCAGACCUCUUUACACUAUGACAGAUGCCAAAAGUAAUUUUCUAUCUGAUCUCUAAAUCCAUAGCAAGCUGAUCUACAGUACAAUCAGUUUUAUUUUUAUCAGACCUCUAAAUCCAAUGACAGCUGAUCUGUGGUCAGUUUUGUUUUCUUUCUAUCAGAGCUCUAAAUGCAUUGUGAGCUGACUGAGAAUAAUUUUUUAUCAGACCUCUAAAUCCUAUGAGAACUGACCUAUGAUCAGUUUUGUUUUCCCUCAUCAUAAAUCUAAAUCCAAUGACAGCUGAUUUGUGGUCAGUUUCUUUCUAUCAGAGUUCUAAAGCCAUUGUGAGCUGAUCUAGGAUCUGUUUUUUAUCAGACCUCUAAAUGCAAAGACAGCUGAUCUGGGGUCAGUUUUGUUUUCUCUCUUUCAUACCUCUAACCCAUUGUGAGCUGAUCUAGGAUCAGUUUUUAUCAGACCUCUAAAUGCAAAGACAGCUGAUCUGGGGUCAGUUUUUUCUCUCUCUUUUAUACCUCUAAAUCUAUUGUAUCAUCAACUAUAUGUAAUACACUUAUUUCCCAAUAGCUAGCUUGUACAACCUAAUAAAUAAAUAAAUUAAUGAAUAAACUAAAACCUUUUUUUCGUCAACAUUCCAAAACAUGGUAAAUGUCAUUAAUACUCUUUAGUAAUAUGCUGAAACUUUGCAUUGGUUGUCGAUUGAGUCUUAAUUGCCAAAUAUGGUCGGUUUGCAAUUUUUUGCCUUUUCCCUGGCCUUAAAUAGUAUGUCAUACAGAACCGAUUGCCACUGUACGUUAGUAUUAACGACGGCAGUGGGGGCUCUGGCCUUAGUCAAACGAGUUCUGUUUCUGUUUCUAAAAUCAUCAACUAUAUGUAAUACACUUAACCAGCAAUAGUUAGCCUGCCCGGAACCGAGCUGACUAAAACCACAUUACUGUGUGACACUUGCUUUUUAUGUGAACGGCCCCUACGCUAAUAAGAUUUUGUUUCUCUCUCCCUGUCUCGUCCUCGAUCACGAGGACAAUAAGACAAACAGAUCCAGUUCCGGUAAAUGUGAAAGUCGGCACACCUCUGAUCUACUGGCUGUUCUUCAACGUGAUGUCCAGCUGAUGCCUGACCAAAGACCACCGGCAGAACCCGCUUAAUCUCCGCUUAAUCUCCUUCCGUUUCAAUGUGUAUAUAUAUAUAUCUCCCAAGGGUUUUUUCCUCCUAGGACUUUUUUUUUACUUCCCCGGCAAAAAUUCCGGGUUUUUUUUCUCCUAGGGGGUUUUUCAACCCGGGGAGGCAGCCUUUUUGGGCUUAACUUCUAUACGUUACAUUAGUAAUACAUUUGCUUAUAAUGUUGAUUUAUAGCCGCAGCAAAUUUAGCUGCUUGUGCUAUCGUGUAUUAUGUUAUGCUAUCUGUCGAUUUUCUGUGCUUUUCACUACAUCUAUUAUGUAAAGCUGCUUUGAUACAAUUACCAAAUUGUGAAAAGCGCUAUAUAAAUAAAAUUUAAUUGAAUUGA
Non-coding RNA from Paramisgurnus dabryanus, 3487 nucleotides. NCBI's taxonomy places the organism in Eukaryota, Metazoa, Chordata, Actinopteri, Cypriniformes, Cobitidae. The record is from RefSeq and is a predicted model, not a curated record.